This 241-nucleotide ribosomal RNA is filed under the name uncultured bacterium. RNAcentral describes it as "partial 16S ribosomal RNA". It matches the Rfam family "Bacterial small subunit ribosomal RNA", at positions 77 to 334 of the family's 1533-position model. The record is from RNAcentral.
CGCCCUCGCAAGGGGGAGUGGCAGACGGGUGAGUAACACGUGGGAACAUACCCUUUGGUUCGGAACAACGCCGGGAAACUGGCGCUAAUACCGGAUACGCCCUUAUGGGGAAAGGCUUUGUCCGCCGAAGGAUUGGCCCGCGUUCGAUUAGCUUGUUGGUGAGGUAACGGCUCACCAAGGCGACGAUCGAUAGCUGGUCUGAGAGGAUGGCCAGCCACAUUGGGACUGAGACACGGCCCAA